RNAcentral lists this transfer RNA (64 nucleotides) under Aristolochia debilis (slender Dutchman's pipe). RNAcentral's name for it is "tRNA-His". It matches the Rfam family "tRNA", at positions 1 to 61 of the family's 71-position model. Rfam says of the family: Transfer RNA (tRNA) molecules are approximately 80 nucleotides in length. Their secondary structure includes four short double-helical elements and three loops (D, anti-codon, and T loops). Further hydrogen bonds mediate the characteristic L-shaped molecular structure. tRNAs have two regions of fundamental functional importance: the anti-codon, which is responsible for specific mRNA codon recognition, and the 3' end, to which the tRNAs corresponding amino acid is attached (by aminoacyl-tRNA synthetases). tRNAs cope with the degeneracy of the genetic code in two manners: having more than one tRNA (with a specific anti-codon) for a particular amino acid; and 'wobble' base-pairing, i.e. permitting non-standard base-pairing at the 3rd anti-codon position. RNAcentral also lists the same sequence under 1 other name. The record is from RNAcentral. Lineage: Eukaryota; Viridiplantae; Streptophyta; Magnoliopsida; Piperales; Aristolochiaceae.
GCGGAUGUAGCCAAGUGGAUCAAGGCAGUGGAUUGUGAAUCCACCAUGCGCGGGUUCAAUUCCC